CAGAAACCACCCUAGACCACAGAAACCACCCUAGACCACAGAAACCAACCUAGACCACAGAAACCACCCUAGACCACAGAAACCACCCUAGACCACAGAAACCACCCUAGAUAGAGGAUCUCAGACCACAGAAACCACCCUAGAUAGAGGAUCUCAGACCACAUGAGAUUCUGUGAAAGGGACUGAAGAGGAUUUCAAAGCUUCCUUGUGACAGCAGGGUGACAGCAGGGUGACAGCAAGGUGACAGCAGGGUGACAACAAGGUGACAGCAGGGUGACAGCAGGGUGACAGCAGGGUGACAGCAGGGUGACAGCAGGGUGACAGCAAGGUGACAACAGGGUCUUGUUCAGUUC
Oncorhynchus tshawytscha (Chinook salmon) is the source of this 353-nucleotide long non-coding RNA. Lineage: Eukaryota; Metazoa; Chordata; Actinopteri; Salmoniformes; Salmonidae. The record is from Ensembl.